GACGGGAAGUUUUGUGAAGGUGCCGUCUCUUCAUUAUCGCAGCUCAGACCAGACCACUGCACCGAUAAAUGAGAGAAGUGCUGAGGACGGCUUUUAACUUUUGGCUGCUACGGGACUGAAUGUGACCCCUGGACCGGAUUACGCACAGAAACAUUGACCGGCAGUGCAUGUACAUUGGAACAAUGGUGGAGUUUGCGUUUGCUUUGGAAGGGAAACUGGAUGACAUCAACAAACCAUUCCUUUAAUGGCUUCAGCGCUUUCACACCCAACAACAUAUUGUUAAAGCUUUCUUCAAGACAGAUCGCUUUGCCCUAGCAUAAAGAUAAUACAUUAAAUCUUGAUGUACUCGUUACAUCAUAAGAAGAAUGGCAUCUACGCUAAUUAGUGUCUUUGUUUAUCCCGAGGUUUUCCCGCAGCCUGCCGGAUCCAGGCCGUAUCCAGAUCUGGCGAGGACCUUAGCCUGGACACGAUGACGAUGACAAUGCAGUGCUGAAGUGCCAACUAGCCUCUCCCUAUGGAGGAUCCCUUUCCCACUCUACAGAUUAAGCGAUGUGAAUUCGUUUCGCGUCCCUACCCUGAAGUGAUUCGAAAAUCUGUAUCAAAUUUUUAGACAAGAAGUUUGUUCAGGCAUGAGGGAAUUUAAAAACCUGCGCGCAUAUAUUCAAACGCACAUAACUAUUGAAUCAAUUCUUAAUGCGCAUGUGAACGUCAUCAGCAGGGCUGUUACUACCAAUUUAUCACAGGUUCACGUUUAAAGUCUAUUUAGAAACAUUCAUAUACAUUUUUACGUGACAGUUACUGUAAAUUCGGCCUCUAGUUCAUAAACGCCAGAGGAGAACUGGCCCC
Molecule: non-coding RNA, 846 nt
Organism: Pimephales promelas (fathead minnow)
Lineage: Eukaryota; Metazoa; Chordata; Actinopteri; Cypriniformes; Leuciscidae
Source: RefSeq, a predicted model, not a curated record